GGGGGCGACAUGGCUUCGACGUGGGUCGCGAAACCUGAGGUGCAUGCCGAGGUGCAGGAUUCCUCGUAAAUCCGUCUGCAAACUUUUAGUUGCCAACGACGACAACUACGCACUCGCAGCUUAAAAACCUGUAGAUUGCCGUCUGACCGGGGCCGUGCUUGUGCGCCCGGGUUCUUCGGAACAUUCAGGCGUCGACUCUCACAAGAUCGUCAUGACGUGCGUCCGGCGCUGAUUGCCUAAAACUCUACCGGAAUCGCUGUCAGUGGGCCCCGCCGACCGGGUUGCUGUCAGUUAAAAUAAUAGGCCGGAUAAGCAUGUAGAGCCGAUGGCAGAGGGCUUGCGGACGCGGGUUCGAUUCCCGCCGCCUCCACCA
Molecule: transfer-messenger RNA, 373 nt
Filed under: Solemya velesiana gill symbiont
Lineage: Bacteria; Pseudomonadati; Pseudomonadota; Gammaproteobacteria
Also listed under: 1 other name
Rfam family: transfer-messenger RNA
About the family: Bacterial tmRNA, also known as 10Sa RNA or SsrA, is named for its dual tRNA and mRNA-like properties. Its role is to liberate the mRNA from a stalled ribosome.
Source: Rfam by way of RNAcentral